RNAcentral lists this ribosomal RNA (408 nucleotides) under Triticum aestivum (bread wheat). RNAcentral's name for it is "partial small subunit ribosomal RNA". Lineage: Eukaryota; Viridiplantae; Streptophyta; Magnoliopsida; Poales; Poaceae. The record is from RNAcentral.
AUGGUGUUGCUUGACAUUAGGGGCAUGCUACAGUCCAUGGGCAAAGACAUAGUGUUGUUCCUUCUUCCGGACAUCGACGAGACCUAUGACACUACUGGAGGCGAGGCCAGAGAAGUCACCGAGGAGUCAUCCAUCGAGGUUGACGCGAACGAUGCUGCUUUAGCGUCCUCACUAAACCCUGAGCAAAGGCUUGCAUACGACGAGAUACUGGCAGCAGUCGAUGCUGGUGAUGGGGGUGUAUUCUUUGUCGAUGGCCCAGGAGGCACCGGGAAGACCUUCCUAUACAAGGCACUACUCACAAAGGUUCGAGGCGAGGGCAAGAUCGCGGUGGCUACGGCGACGUCAGGCGUCGCGGCUUCCAUCAUGCCUGGAGGAAGGACAGCCCACUCGAGGUUCAAGAUCCCACUC